RNAcentral lists this ribosomal RNA (497 nucleotides) under uncultured bacterium. Its description in RNAcentral is "partial 16S ribosomal RNA". It matches the Rfam family "Bacterial small subunit ribosomal RNA", at positions 28 to 507 of the family's 1533-position model. The record is from RNAcentral.
GAUGAACGCUGGCGGCGUGCCUAAUACAUGCAAGUCGAGCGAACAGACGAGGAGCUUGCUCCUCUGACGUUAGCGGCGGACGGGUGAGUAACACGUGGAUAACCUACCUAUAAGACUGGGAUAACUUCGGGAAACCGGAGCUAAUACCGGAUAAUAUAUUGAACCGCAUGGUUCAAUAGUGAAAGACGGUUUUGCUGUCACUUAUAGAUGGAUCCGCGCCGCAUUAGCUAGUUGGUAAGGUAACGGCUUACCAAGGCAACGAUGCGUAUCCGACCUGAGAGGGUGAUCGGCCACACUGGAACUGAGACACGGUCCAGACGCCUACGGGAGGCAGCAGUAGGGAAUCUUCCGCAAUGGGCGAAAGCCUGACGGAGCAACGCCGCGUGAGUGAUGAAGGUCUUCGGAUCGUAAAACUCUGUUAUUAGGGAAGAACAAAUGUGUAAGUAACUAUGCACGUCUUGACGGUACCUAAUCAGAAAGCCACGGCUAACUACGUG